AUUUUCCACGCAUGAUCUCAUAUGAGUUUCAAAACAACUGGAAAUAUCUGUCUGAUCUGCAAACAUUCCAGUGCUAAUGAAGAGCUACCCAAGAAAUUAAGAUGAUGGAUGUACCCAAAUUCCAAACUUACGAAAAAGUUCUGGGAUCUCACAUCUCCUGCUGUGUAAACCAGAUGAUGCGUGAGAAAACAAACAAGCACGCACCCAUUUGUGGAAAAGAAAGGACUCCUAAUGAGAAGAGCAGCAGUUCAUGCAUGAUAGGACUGAAUUAAUGCCUUGGAAGCCAGGAAGAAUUCAGUCUGCCGGAAAGAUGAGAAUAAUGAAAAAUAGGACAGUCACACACAGUUCUUAGCCAUCUGGUACCUCAACAAGUGCCGGCACAUCACACUUCAGCCAUGGGAAUUUCUCCCAACUUCUCUUCUCCUUGGAAAGAAUUUGCAAGGCAAAUUCCGUUUGAUCAACUAGGAAAAGAACCAGGAGUGGAGAAAAUGGGGGGGAAAAACAACAACAACCCCAAAACCUUCCUCAGGCCAGUGCUAGUUGUAAAAAUUGUCAAAAGACCCUUAGAUAGAUUGUACUUGGGCCUAGUUUGGAGCGCCUGGCCCUAAAAUAAACACACAGCACAAAUAAUCAUACUUAACUUAUAAGAAUGGAAAGUUUUCUUCUUAAACGUUUUUAUUACGAAGAAUAGGAACUUACAAGUGGAUGAACCUUUUCUUAGGAAUUAACCCAUUGCACAGGUUUGUUAAUAAAUGUAAGUCAGUUCCAGGAUACUUUUGUGUAAAAGUGAUACCAGGACAACGUACGGCAAUAUUUGUGGCUUAGUCCCUAAUUCAAGUACCUCGGCUCCCUCGUAUGCAGUCAGGGCGCUAGAUUUCCGGAUUCCGGCACCACUCUCAACGCCUCCUGGAUGAAGUGGCACCUGAAUCCCAUGUCACCCUCGGUCGCCCCUCUGCCUUGGCUCAAGGAUUUUGGCGAACGGAAGUGUGCCCAGUCGGUCUCUACGGAUCGGAGUGCUGGCCAGCGACGGCAAAGCACGAGCAGGCCAUACAUGUGACGGAAAUGCAAAUGCUCUGAUGUGCCGUGUAGACUAAUGUGAUUCAGCCACAUCCAACAUCAACUGGGAGUCAUGCCAAUCAUAGCAAAAAUCUGGGAAGGAAGAUGGCACGGAGACAUACCAUCGGUGGCAAGGACAGCCACCCGUCGGGAUCCUGAUGACCGGUGACCCCAGGACAGACCCAAGAAAAGGGGGAUGGAUUGCAUCAAAGAGGACAUGAUAGAUGGCUUUGCCAACAAGCGGACCCUGCCAUAGUGCAUACUGUAAAUAAAGCAUAUAUUGUCUUAAUAAUAUAUCUGAAAGAAGCCAAUUAACUGGUUUCAUAAAAUGGAACGAAGCAUCAUAUAUAAUUUUCUAGCCAGACUUUCACUUUAGAUAACAAAGUGUUAACAUGGAGACAGCCUCUGAUGUCAAACUUUAGACUUAUUUGGUGUUUGAGAAAUAAUUACCUCUUCUCUUAUUUCCUCUCUCUCCAGCAACUGUGCUUUCCCACCACACAAAAGUUUUCUCCGAUCUGAUCCUACAUUGGUAUGUCUUCUACGACAUCCUUGUAAGACAGAAACUUUCCAUGACUAAAGCUGAAGGCCAGAUGCAGGUGUAAAUUAAAUCAGACCAAUUUUAUAAGAACUAUAAUAUAAUUUUAAAAUCUAAAUUAUGAUUUGCUUAUGAUGAUGAAUAAAGUCUUGUGUCGUAAUUGCUUCAAUCACUCAGAAUAAAGAGCUUUGUGCCAGGGAACUAUUAGAUUACUUCCUGCACUAUCAGAAUAAAGUAGCACCUGGUAUCAUUAUAUUAUCCAGCAAGAUUUUGGUUUUGCAACCAGAACAAUAAGGGAAUUAAAGAGAAACCACUACAUUGUUACAGUCUAUGUCGACAAGUAACACAACAGGAAUGUUGGCCUUAAGACUUUUUACGGGGUUGCUAACGUAAAAAAGGAGACGGACACACUAACUGGGAGCUUGUCAGGUUUAAUGGAGCAAAUGUAUAAAUGGGGCUGAUUUGUGUAAUGGCGUUUAACACUAAUAUUAACGCUUCUGAUUUGACCAUGAAAACAAUCGGCUUUCAAAUGGCAUCUCACUGUUAACUCAGAAAGGAUUUGUUUGUUUUGUUCCCUUUGCGAAUGUAAUUCUCAUGACUCAGUCUGUGUGCCUGGAAUUAAUAGCACCAACAGCUAUUUAAUUUAAAUCUCUUCCAUUCCAGUUGCCUGUUUUUAAUGUUACAUACUGCCCAUCGUUUCCUAGCAGUUUUCAUCAUUAUUAGCUGUAUAUGAACUUGGAAACUGAACCCAGGUUUUUCCCCCACAUGGAAUUAGGGCUAAAAGGCUAUGAAGCAAGCCAACCCUUGAUUGAUGAUGACAAAAUGGUUUCCAGGGUCUGGGCAAGCUGGAACACCAGAGCCUAGUCACUGACAUAAACACUUAGUAAUUUCCGUCUAUAUUUGGCCCUCAUCUUUUAGCCUAAUGAUAAGAUGGAUGCACAGGUUGCUUCUGACAUCAGGAAAUAAAGAAAACACUUAACAACCAUGAUAUCGUCCCAAAUUUUUAAUGGGAUCAAGAUUCCCUUUUCGGUCUAGAGAGAAAACAGUUGGGAAUUUUUUGCUUGUUCAAACAAACGUUGUGGCUUUAAGCCAAAAUAAUAAGUUUGAACAUUAUGUAUUUUUCCACAAGCUGUUUUAUUUUAAUUAUUAUUUUUUACAAAUGCAGUCAUAAAGACAGCUGCUUAAACAUCUUCAUUUUGGCUAUUUCCCCCAGGAAUGCAUGUUUUCACUUCAAGCAAAAAAUAUGCAGUACAGGUAGUCCUUGACUUACAAUCAUUCAUUUAGUGACCAUGCAAAGCUCCAACAACAUUGAAAAAAGGGAUUUAUGACUGGUCAUAAAUUGCAACAUCCCCAUGGUCGUGUCAUCAAAAUCCAGGUGCCUGAUAACCAGCACAAACUAACUGUGGUUGCAGAGUCUAUUUGACUGUCAUUUGCAAACUUCCCAGCUGGCUUCCGACCACAAGAUUAGUGGGGGAAGCUGGAUUCUGUGAAUGACUCUUAAUUCACUUAAAAACUCCACCGAUUUGCUUCAAUGGUAGCAAAAAAAUGAACGUUUGCACAACUCAUGUAAGAACGGCCUUAUGUUUAGCAACAUAAAUUCUGAUCCCAGUUGUGGUUUAAGUUGAGGGUUACCUGUAUGGGUUUCAAAUAAUGGAUCCAUGUCACGCCUCUAGUGAAGUUGACUAUGGUGUUCCAAACUUACCUACUGUUCUUUAAAGUCUCUUUAGCUUUUUCCCCUUAGAGGUGACCUUUGCUAUCUAACAGGCAGACUUUAAAGUACAUACAUAAAACAGUUAGAAAUGUGUGGAUUGGGCAGAGGUAAUUUAUCUUAAUUACCUCCAGCCAUUUUGCCUUACUGGAUAUAAUUUUAAUUAAAAGUGUUGAUAAUACUAGGAAGAAAUGUUCUGAAUUCAAUUAAAGGAGCAGAGUUCAUUGGACAGUGAGUACUUUUUAAAGUUUUGGCUUUCACGAGUUCUCUUGCAAAGUUCUGGCUUUUUCUGAUUCUUUUGCACGGACCAGUGAGAGCAGAGUACAUGAAAUGAAGCAAGAGAAACAAUAUUCAGAGCAUGAAGUAAGAAUUAUUAAAAGAUAAUGCAGAAAUUGAUUCUUGGCCAUUCAAAUAAGGGUAUUAAUUAAAAUUAUUUUCAAAUAUAAAGCAUGUUUGUGUUGUGUGCUAAUAAUAUUACUUGUAGAUCAAGAUCAACUUAUGCAACUUUUUAUAAAGUCAAAUUUAUGUUGAAAAUGUGAGUAACCUGGAGGGACAUUUUACUAUGUCUGGUGGAUGUGUGAAAAAGCCAAAAAAUGUUGGACCCAAACACAUAAGACUAAUUCAGACAAUUUUAAAAACUAAUACACAAUUGAAACCAGAGGCUUUUCUUUGGGAACGAAUGGACAGGCAGCUAUAAAAAACACAUGGAAUUUUGUUUUUAUAUAUGACAGCUGAAGCAAGAUUAUUAUAUGCUCCAAAGUGAAAAGGUUCUUCCUUUUCCACAAUGGAGGAAUAGUUGGUGAAGAUGACAGAAUUUGUAGACAGAGAUGGCUGAAUUAACUCCUUGACUGAAGAGAAGACACCGUCUACAUUUAUGGACGACUGGAAACCUUUUAUGGACUUUUUGCAUGACAC
Ahaetulla prasina is the source of this 4214-nucleotide long non-coding RNA. RefSeq lists it as uncharacterized. The transcript has 3 exons. The record is from RefSeq and is a predicted model, not a curated record. NCBI's taxonomy places the organism in Eukaryota, Metazoa, Chordata, Lepidosauria, Squamata, Colubridae.